AUGGCAGGCUCCAACUCGAAUGCACAUGGAGGAAAUAUUAUGGAAGAAGAGUUCCCCAAGACUCGAGCCGCAAUUGGUGAUGUGAUUGAAGAAAGUAUAGCUGCAGCUUUGCAACGGAUGUUUGGAGGACGUCUUCCUCUUGCGGGAAAUGGGGAUCUACACCAACACAGCCCCGCUGCCUCACUAGUCGCCAACAAUCAUCGUUCUCGUGGCCACGAAGAUCGCCACAAUGGUCAUGGGAGAGCUGCAGGUGGCCAUGUUGAUGGUACCGCUAUUGGUGGUGUUGAACGGAGGCGAGGUAACCUUGUUGCACCCCAUGAUUGUGGGAUGCAUGGAGGAGAAACUUGCGGGCAAGGCCAUGGACUCCGCGGGUUCGCCGCAGAUCACAGGCAACGAGCUGCACAUGGUGGUGAUGACAUGUACCAUGAAGAGCACCCAAAUCAUAACGAUGAGUACGUUGAGAUGGUGGAUGAUGAGUCAUAUUCCACGCCUCGUUUUGGUGCUAUUUUUGGUCACCAUGGUAGUCCCUAUGAUGGUCGUUUGGGUGAUGACCAUCACAACAAAGCAAGGGUGAAGUUACGCAAUCCAUCAUUCACUAGAGAAGAGGACCCGAAUGCUUAUUUUGAGUGGGAGGAUUGA
This 639-nucleotide ribosomal RNA is filed under the name Triticum aestivum (bread wheat). RNAcentral's name for it is "partial small subunit ribosomal RNA". The record is from RNAcentral. Lineage: Eukaryota; Viridiplantae; Streptophyta; Magnoliopsida; Poales; Poaceae.